GGACAGGAUCGACGUAGCACGUGCUAUACCCUACCUAUGAGACUGCGAUAACUUCCUGAAACCGAUGCUAAUACCGGAUAACAUUUGGAAGCGGAUGGUUCAAAAGUGAAAGACGGUCUUGCUGUCACUUAUAGAUGGAUCCGCGCUGCAUUAGCUAGUUGCUAGGUAACGGCUUACCAAGGCAACGACGGAUAGCCGACCUGAGAGGUGAUCGGCCACACUGGAACUGAGACACGGUCCAGACUCCUACGGGAGGCAGCAGUAGGGAAUCUUCCGCAAUGGGCGAAAGCCUGACGGAGCAACGCCGCGUGAGUGAUGAAGGUCUUCGGAUCGUAAAACUCUGUUAUUAGGGAAGAACAUAUCUGUAAGUAACUGUGCACAUCUUGACGGCCCUAAUCAGAAAGCCACGGCUAACUACGUGCCAGCAGCCGCGUAAUACGUAGGUGCAAGCGUUAUCCGGAAUUAUUGGGCGUAAAGCGCGCGUAGGCUUUUUUUAAAUCUGAUUUGAAAGCCCACGGGUCAUCCGGGAAGGAUCAUUGAAAGCUGGAACACUUGAGUGCAGAAGAGGAAAGUGUAAUUCCAUGUGUAGCGGUGACUGCGCAGAGAUAUGGAGGAACACCAGAGGUGAAGGCGACUAUCUGGCUGUAACUGACGCUGAUGUGCGAAAGCGAGCCAUCAUACAGGAUUAGAUACCCUGGUAGUCCACGCCGUACACGAUGAGUGUACUGUUAGGGGUUUCCGCCCUUAGUGCUGCAGUACCGCUUAAG
This 767-nucleotide ribosomal RNA is filed under the name Staphylococcus aureus. RNAcentral's name for it is "bacterial SSU rRNA". It matches the Rfam family "Bacterial small subunit ribosomal RNA", at positions 100 to 864 of the family's 1533-position model. The record is from RNAcentral. Lineage: Bacteria; Bacillati; Bacillota; Bacilli; Caryophanales; Staphylococcaceae.